AGGGGCGUCGCCAAGCGGUAAGGCAACGGGUUUUGAUCCCGUCAUUCGCAGGUUCGAUCCCUGCCGCCCCUGCCA
RNAcentral lists this transfer RNA (75 nucleotides) under Deltaproteobacteria bacterium. RNAcentral's name for it is "tRNA-Gln". It matches the Rfam family "tRNA". Rfam says of the family: Transfer RNA (tRNA) molecules are approximately 80 nucleotides in length. Their secondary structure includes four short double-helical elements and three loops (D, anti-codon, and T loops). RNAcentral also lists the same sequence under 2 other names. The record is from RNAcentral. Lineage: Bacteria; Pseudomonadati; Myxococcota; Myxococcia.